This 403-nucleotide ribosomal RNA is filed under the name uncultured bacterium. RNAcentral's name for it is "partial 16S ribosomal RNA". It matches the Rfam family "Bacterial small subunit ribosomal RNA", at positions 28 to 526 of the family's 1533-position model. The record is from RNAcentral.
GACGAACGCUGGCGGCGUGCCUAAUACAUGCAAGUCGAACGCAGUGGCGACGGGUGAGUAACACGUGGGUAACCUCCCAUCAGAGGGGAGAACACUUGGAAACAGGCGCUAAACCGCUACUGAUUGAUGGACCCGCGGUGCAUUAGCUAGGUGGUGAGGUAACGGCCCACCAAGGCCACGAUGCAUAGCCGACCUGAGAGGGUGAUCGGCCAGACUGGGACUGAGGCCCGGCCCAGACUCCUACGUGAGGCAGCAGUAGGGAAUCUUCGGCAAUGGACGAAAGGCUGACCGAGCAACGCCGCGUGAGUGAAGAAGGUGUGCGGAUCGUAAAACUCUGUUGGUAGAGAAGCGGUAUCUAACCAGAAAGCCACGGCUAACUCCGUGCCAGCAGCCGCGGUAAUAC